Molecule: ribosomal RNA, 460 nt
Filed under: uncultured bacterium
Lineage: Bacteria
Description: partial 16S ribosomal RNA
Rfam family: Bacterial small subunit ribosomal RNA
Source: RNAcentral
CCUACGGGUGGCAGCAGUGAGGAAUAUUGGUCAAUGGGCGCGAGCCUGAACCAGCCAAGUAGCGUGAAGGAUGACUGCCCUAUGGGUUGUAAACUGCUUUUAUAAAAGAAUAAAAUGAGGCACGUGUGCCUUUUUGUAUGUACUUCAUGAAUAAGGACCGGCUAACUCCGUGCCAGCAGCCGCGGUAAUACGGAGGGUCCGAGCGUUAUCCGGAUUUAUUGGGUUUAAAGGGAGCGUAGAUGGGUUGUUAAGUGUGUUGUGAAAGGUUGCGGCUCAACCAUGGGAGUGCGGCGCGAACUGGAGAGCUUGAGUGCGCGGAAGGCAGGCGGAAUUCGUGGUGUAGCGGUGAAAUGCAUAGAUAUCGCGAAGAACCCCGAUUGCGAAGGCAGCCUGCCGCAGCCAUACUGACGCUGAAGCACGAAAGCGCGGGUAUCGAACAGGAUUAGAUACCCUGGUAGUC